This is a small nucleolar RNA of Myotis lucifugus (little brown bat), 114 nucleotides long. NCBI's taxonomy places the organism in Eukaryota, Metazoa, Chordata, Mammalia, Chiroptera, Vespertilionidae. The record is from Ensembl.
UGCAGCCGUGUCAAAUUCGGUGCCUGCCGCACCCAUGGUCGGCUCUGGCCAGAAGGCUGCCAUCGAAACACCGUGACUCAUGGGCCUUAGGGAUACACUUGGUUACAGACACCG